Molecule: ribosomal RNA, 535 nt
Filed under: Bipolaris sp. 27-3
Lineage: Eukaryota; Fungi; Ascomycota; Dothideomycetes; Pleosporales; Pleosporaceae
Description: eukaryotic LSU rRNA
Rfam family: 5.8S ribosomal RNA (bases 196-349)
Source: RNAcentral
CUCCGUAGGGGAACCUGAACCUGCGGGAGGGGAUCAUUACAAGUGACCCCCGGUUUACCACCGGGAUGUUCAUAACCCUUUGUUGUCCGACUCUGUUGCCUCCGGGGCGACCCUGCCUUCGGGCGGGGGCUCCGGGUGGACACUUCAAACUCUUGCGUAACUUUGCAGUCUGAGUAAACUUAAUUAAUAAAUUAAAACUUUUAACAACGGAUCUCUUGGUUCUGGCAUCGAUGAAGAACGCAGCGAAAUGCGAUAAGUAAUGUGAAUUGCAGAAUUCAGUGAAUCAUCGAAUCUUUGAACGCACUUUGCGCCCCCUGGUAUUCCGGGGGGCAUGCCUGUUCGAGCGUCAUUUCACCACUCAAGCCUCGCUUGGUAUUGGGCAACGCGGUCCGCCGCGUGCCUCAAAUCGACCGGCUGGGUCUUCUGUCCCCUAAGCGUUGUGGAAACUAUUCGCUAAAGGGUGCUCGGGAGGCUACGCCGUAAAACAACCCCAUUUCUAAGGUUGACCUCGGAUCAGGUAGGAAAGGCGCUGAAA